CAAUUAAAAAAAAUAAACUAUAAGCAACAACUUCUAAAGUAUUAAGGGGCAUAUAUAAGCCUUCUAAAAUAGUUGGUGAUUGUUUCUUUAGGAAUUUACAAAUGAUUAACAAAGUGUGGUUCAUCAAAGCUUACCAAGAGGUGAAAGCUGGUGUGACGGCAACGAUAUUUAUCUAGAAAAUGUAGAAUGUUCUAUCAGAUUAAAACAAAAUCAUGAAAAAUAAAAAUCAGAAAAGAUUUAGUCAACUCAUUGGAUUCAGCUUGGUUGGACACGAGAUCAGCCACGUCAUCGCUCACCAUCUUCAAUGUUCACACCAUGAUAACCCCAAUGAUAGCAGGAGUUUUAUAUUACAAUAAUAAAAAAAGGUAAAAAAAUUCUAAAGUAAAUGAUAUAAUUUAGGCAAUUAAAGAAGCAAAUCCUGGUCCGCCUGGUGGCAGCCAGUAGUCUCAUGCUUCACGCAACGGCUGCUGCUGGCAGGCCAACAUCUCUUAACUAGAUAACAGAUUGCUAAUUGCCAUUCACCACCUUUAUGCUUCUAUUACUUUAAACUCCCACUUAGCUUCAUUAAUUUUACAUCUAUACCUUUGCCUUCUACUCUUAUUAAAUAAAAAAUAAAAAACCUUCUUGUAGAUAUACGACCUAUAUUUGCUGCUCACACCUCUACGCAAAUUCAAAAAUUUACUUUAGAGGUCAAAGAUAAAUUAUUAUAAAUUUGAAAGGGUAAAAUAUGUUUUAUUAUUCUAUCAUAUUGUACUUUUAUAAAUUUUGAAAGAAUUAAAGUACAAAUUUAUUAUUUUUCGGCUAAGACCACUAUUUGCCCCUACUCUAUGGCUCUGCUCAAUUUACUUUUACUAAAACUUACUAUAUAUUUCUAUUUGAUUAAUGCAGAC
Molecule: long non-coding RNA, 890 nt
Filed under: Gossypium barbadense (sea-island cotton)
Lineage: Eukaryota; Viridiplantae; Streptophyta; Magnoliopsida; Malvales; Malvaceae
Description: long non-coding RNA (GBAR_LNC023393)
Source: RNAcentral